Molecule: ribosomal RNA, 253 nt
Filed under: uncultured bacterium
Lineage: Bacteria
Description: partial 16S ribosomal RNA
Rfam family: Bacterial small subunit ribosomal RNA
Source: RNAcentral
UACGGAGGGUGCAAGCGUUAUCCGGAUUCACUGGGUUUAAAGGGUGCGUAGGCGGGUUAAUAAGUCAGUGGUGAAAGCCCUCAGCUCAACUGAGGAAUAGCCACUGAAACUGCUAAUCUUGAAUCUGGUUGAAGUGGGCGGAAUAUAUCAUGUAGCGGUGAAAUGCUUAGAUAUGAUGUAGAACAACGAUUGCGAAGGCAGCUCACUAAGCCAACAUUGACGCUGAGGCACGAAAGCGUGGGUAGCGAACAGG